Molecule: unclassified non-coding RNA, 334 nt
Filed under: soil metagenome
Description: partial contains 5.8S ribosomal RNA, internal transcribed spacer 2, and large subunit ribosomal RNA
Rfam family: 5.8S ribosomal RNA (bases 1-120)
Source: RNAcentral
GAUGAAGAACGUAGCGAAAUGCGAUAAGUAAUGUGAAUUGCAGAAUUCAGUGAAUCUUCGAAUCUUUGAACGCACAUUGCGCCCCCCAGUAUUCUGGCGGGCAUGCCUGUUCGAGCGUCAUUUCAACCAUCAAGCCCUGCUUGUGUUGGGGUCCUGCGGCUGCCCGCAGGCCCUGAAAACCAGUGGCGGGCUCGCUAGUCACACCGAGCGCAGUAGCACAUCUCGCUCAGGGCGUGCGGCGGGCUCCAGCCGUUAAAGCACCCACCUUUCGCAAGGUUGACCUCGGAUCAGGUAGGAAUACCCGCUGAACUUAAGCAUAUCAAUAAGCGGAGGA